Long non-coding RNA from Lagenorhynchus albirostris (white-beaked dolphin), 927 nucleotides. RefSeq lists it as uncharacterized. The record is from RefSeq and is a predicted model, not a curated record. NCBI's taxonomy places the organism in Eukaryota, Metazoa, Chordata, Mammalia, Artiodactyla, Delphinidae. The transcript has 3 exons.
UAUACAGAUUAAACAAGAUAUGGACAUCUGAACCCAUUAGAAAAACUAGGUCACCCUGGAAGUAAACUCCAGUGACAGUGACCAAUCCAACGUGAAGUUCUGUGUCUGCACUUCUUCUGAACAAGACUGCCUUAAAGCAAAACUCCUCCAUUUACAGCCCCCUCAAAAGUACAAAUGUCUGAUCCUCCGCUUAAUCAGCUCCGAACUAUUUUUAAAAGUAAAAUACAUUUUUAGUCAGCACAGUAAGUCAAGCAUAGUAAGCUAUCAUCAUACAACAGCAUAAAGGAAACUCUCUCUACAGGACAGUAAACAGUCAAUACAUAAUAAACUAGUUUGAAAAUACAUGAAGUACAUUUGUCUCAACAAAGGUAUGGCCCCUUGAGUGCUUUUUCCUAAGAAGCCAAGAACUGGAAAACAAUCGCAUGCUGAAGCGAAGGAUGAAACCCACAGCGCUGGUCUCGACUAUUCAGAGUCUACAACAGAUGUGGCGUCAGGAAGGACAGGCCGGGCUGUUCCCAUCACCGGCUGGCCGUUACUUAACACACUGGGUUCAUGUCAGCUGGUAAAGGGCACCUCCACCCACCUCCUUACCCCACUAUGAAUAUAAACAGAGGCGUUUGCCCUGAGUAUACAACUGGGCUGAAGAGUUUCGUUACAUAUUAACUACACUUCAAAGAAUAAAUCAGACUUGUUAUUUCACUUUAAUAUGCAUAUAUACCUUGGGAAAAGUGAAACUCAAAAGGAUUUCUUCUUCAUUCCUUAGAGAUUGCUAUUAUGGAAAAAAUAAACUCAACCACAUAGAAUACUAAGAUGAGAGCUGACUAUGAAACUGACCGCUGAACCUUCCUAUGUCAAAGAGAACUUUCCACUGUGGGAAAUUUCUAAAACAUUCAUAUUAAGCUAAGUGGAAAUGUCAUCAUAGUUCAG